RNAcentral lists this transfer RNA (65 nucleotides) under Dipodomys ordii (Ord's kangaroo rat). It matches the Rfam family "tRNA". Rfam says of the family: Transfer RNA (tRNA) molecules are approximately 80 nucleotides in length. Their secondary structure includes four short double-helical elements and three loops (D, anti-codon, and T loops). Lineage: Eukaryota; Metazoa; Chordata; Mammalia; Rodentia; Heteromyidae. The record is from Rfam by way of RNAcentral.
GGUGACUGAGUAGUAAAGUGCUUGCCUUGCAUGCAUGAGGCCCUGGGUUUGAUUCCUCAGCACCA